AAAAAUACCAGUUCUCUUAUUAUGAUCAUCGAUGUUAAGCAACGUCGAGCCUGGACAGUACCUAGAUGGGUGACCGCUUGGGAAUACCAGAUGUUGUAAG
This is a non-coding RNA of Acanthosepion pharaonis, 100 nucleotides long. The record is from the annotation of a GenBank genome assembly. Lineage: Eukaryota; Metazoa; Mollusca; Cephalopoda; Sepiida; Sepiidae.